CUGAAGUUUGGAUCCAAAUUUUGGAUCUAAACACAGCCUUAUAUGAAUUUUUUUUUUGUAAUUAGUAUUUUCAUUGUUGUUAGAUGAUAAAACAAGAUUAAUACUUUAUGCGUGACUUAUCCUUUUAAUUUUUUUCAUAAUUUUUUUAAAUAAGACGGACAUUCAAAUGUUAGACACGGAAACCAGAGUUUGUCUUUUUU
RNAcentral lists this microRNA precursor (200 nucleotides) under Oryza sativa Japonica Group (Japanese rice). RNAcentral describes it as "MIR812 microRNA precursor family". It matches the Rfam family "MIR812 microRNA precursor family". Lineage: Eukaryota; Viridiplantae; Streptophyta; Magnoliopsida; Poales; Poaceae. The record is from Rfam by way of RNAcentral.